This 253-nucleotide ribosomal RNA is filed under the name uncultured bacterium. RNAcentral describes it as "partial 16S ribosomal RNA". It matches the Rfam family "Bacterial small subunit ribosomal RNA", at positions 524 to 776 of the family's 1533-position model. The record is from RNAcentral.
UACGGAGGGGGCUAGCGUUGUUCGGAAUUACUGGGCGUAAAGCGCACGUAGGCGGCUUUGUAAGUUAGAGGUGAAAGCCCAGAGCUCAACUCUGGAACUGCCUUUAAGACUGCAUCGCUUGAAUCAUGGAGAGGUCAGUGGAAUUCCGAGUGUAGAGGUGAAAUUCGUAGAUAUUCGGAAGAACACCAGUGGCGAAGGCGACUGACUGGACAUGUAUUGACGCUGAGGUGCGAAAGCGUGGGGAGCAUACAGG